CAAGAGCACCUUGACUCGUGUCUCAGAAGCAAGGCUGCUGGUGCAGCUGGAGCAACGCUCUCUCUGGAGCAGAGUCUUCACCCUUGACUGGAAGGAGUGAAACACGCUGUGCUGCCCUAAAUCACCAUGGCACCAUCACAGCAGAAUUUAAAAAGCCUAGUGAAGGAAGGAGCUGUGGGCUUUCUGCUGGGAACCGUGGGAGGAUGUGCACUGGGAGCCACAAUGUCACCAGUGAACAAGGCCAUGACGGAGAUCAUUUCAGGGUCACUACUGAAACCAGUGACUGAAGGUGUGAGGACUGUGGGACCACUGGGCCUGGGGACUCUAUUGGGAGCAACUGCCCUCACCACAGCGAUGACAGCAGCUGUAGCAGGAGUGACUGUGGCUGCCUUGGUGGCGUUGCUGCUUUUGAGGUUAAAGAGGCACGGGGUUGGUGUGGCAGCUCUAGAUGGAUUUGUAUGGAUUGUGGUCGGGCUGGCGGCAGCCCUGAGCACCACGUCCUGUGGAGCAGUGCUUGGGAUCAUUGUAGAGACACUAACCUUUAGAUCUGGAGUUGUAGCACUGCUCUGGGCUCUGGGAAUCUUCACUGUGGUGAAAACGUUCGUUCACGUCAUUGUGCAACUCACGUGCAAUGAGGUGGAGUGCUGUGGCGUCCUGCAGUACGCUGACGAAGCCAAGGAACAAGAGCAGAAAAGGCUGCAGGCUCUGGAGACUGAGCAGCGAGACCGGGUGACGGUGGAGAUUGAACAAAAGAUACUUGCUUUUGAAAGAGACAAAAGGAUUGAAGAACAAGAUGGGCUGGACAACAGAAUGGCUUGGAAGGCCCGACAGCAGGAGAGAGAGGAAAUGACGAAGCUGCAGCGGGAAGCAUUAGAGCUAGCAGUGCUGCAGAGGACUAUACAGGAGCGUCUGACCAAAGUCUUGUCCAAAUAUGUGGAAUUCCUGGCUUUCUCUGGUAUUCCGAUGACGGUGACUGCAGCUGUGACUGCUGGCUUUGGAAUCUUUGGGUUUGGAGACUACAGAUUCGUUUUUAUCAUUCUUUUAGCUCUAGUGCUUAGCAUGGCCUUCAUGCUAAUGAGGUCAGUGCAUUUGAACUUCUGGAUGUUCUGCGGCUGCGUAGGUAUGUUUGCAACGUUUGCCAUUGCUAUACUUACCGUGCAUGCAGGACAGGAGGCGGUGGAGAUGUCUAUAAAAAUUAGAAAAACAGGACAAGUGCUGACCAAGGACAACAUUACAGCUUGGAUGGACCACAGAGCUUCAGUAGAGGCUGUAGCGGCAGGAUUCUUUGUCUCAAAAAUGUGUCAGGUUGGCUUAGGGGCCUCUGUUGGAGGUGCUCUAGAGCCAAAGGUUUUGGAUAAAGUCUUAGUGGGAUCAUCUGUAGCGACAGUGGCUAUUAUUUCAAUGACUGAGACUUCGUCAGUACUUUUAGGGGUUGGUGGGGUGACAGGGUCAUUGCUAGGGGCUCUAGGGGCAGCUGGAGUUUCUCUAGGAGCAGCUGCAGUUGUGGCCGUUCGGUGGUCCUCAUGGGUAGGAACUAUAUGCACCACAGCUGGAAUGCUAUUCGGAGCUUUAGCCAUUGGACAGUGGGACAUUGUUAACACUGGACUGCAGGUGCUUGUUGCCUACAUGUUUUCAAAGAUAAGUCCCUAUUGACUCAGUCUGGUGGUGUGAAUGUCUCAACAUUGUCUCAGGGGUGUCUCAGCGGUUAGGUCACUGGAUAAUUGAUAACAGGGUUGUAGGUUUAAAAACCUGUGUCUGAUAAGCUGCCAAUAUUGGGCCCUUAAGCAAGGACCUUAAACUCCAACACUAGGCAUGUGUGUGUGUGUGUGUGACCAAUGCAAAACACUUAUCUCCAUUUUUGUCGAUUUUUAGUUUACUACAUAAUUUGAACAGACAAACAAAAAAAAAUGACCUGAAAUAAACUCUUUUUACAUUGACUUCCA
Molecule: long non-coding RNA, 1943 nt
Filed under: Astyanax mexicanus (Mexican tetra)
Lineage: Eukaryota; Metazoa; Chordata; Actinopteri; Characiformes; Acestrorhamphidae
Description: lncRNA (ENSAMXG00005012845.1)
Source: RNAcentral